RNAcentral lists this unclassified non-coding RNA (376 nucleotides) under soil metagenome. RNAcentral's name for it is "partial contains 5.8S ribosomal RNA, internal transcribed spacer 2, and large subunit ribosomal RNA". The stretch from base 1 to 120 matches the Rfam family "5.8S ribosomal RNA", at positions 35 to 154 of the family's 154-position model. The record is from RNAcentral.
GAUGAAGAACGCAGCGAAAUGCGAUAAGUAAUGUGAAUUGCAGAAUUCAGUGAAUCAUCGAAUCUUUGAACGCAUCUUGCGCUCCUUGGUAUUCUGAGGAGCAUGCCUGUUUGAGUGUCAUUAAAUUCUCAACUACACUGACUUUGAAUUGGUGUGGCUUGGAUUUGGGGGGAAAAUUGUUGUGGGCUUUUUGUAUAGUCUGCUCCCCUGAAAUUGAUUAGCGGUACCCUUGUGGAACUGUCUACAGGUGUGAUAAUUAUCUACAUCUUAGACAUCUGCUGGAAUGCUGCUUUCUAAACCUUACUUGUAUUGACAAUCUUGACCUCAAAUCAGGUAGGACUACCCGCUGAACUUAAGCAUAUCAAUAAGCGGAGGA